ACAACAUUAUUAUACGGAAUAUACUAACUUUCCAAGUUAGAGACCCUGAAAUAAACAGGAUGUUGUA
This 67-nucleotide transfer RNA is filed under the name Gyrodactylus brachymystacis. RNAcentral describes it as "tRNA-Gly". The record is from RNAcentral. Lineage: Eukaryota; Metazoa; Platyhelminthes; Monogenea; Gyrodactylidea; Gyrodactylidae.